GUUGACCUCGGAUCAGGUAGGAAUACCCGCUUAACUUAA
Molecule: ribosomal RNA, 39 nt
Filed under: Colletotrichum novae-zelandiae
Lineage: Eukaryota; Fungi; Ascomycota; Sordariomycetes; Glomerellales; Glomerellaceae
Description: partial 28S ribosomal RNA
Source: RNAcentral